AAUCCAUGCUGAGAACAUUUCCGUAGGAGAUCCUUGAGCCUAUCCCAUGUAUCAAAAAGAGACUCCAAUUCCAUUUGCACAAAAGAGGACAUUUCAUUCCUGAGCUU
Dioscorea cayenensis subsp. rotundata (Guinea yam) is the source of this 107-nucleotide small nucleolar RNA. The record is from RefSeq and is a predicted model, not a curated record. NCBI's taxonomy places the organism in Eukaryota, Viridiplantae, Streptophyta, Magnoliopsida, Dioscoreales, Dioscoreaceae.